Molecule: ribosomal RNA, 349 nt
Filed under: uncultured bacterium
Lineage: Bacteria
Description: bacterial SSU rRNA
Rfam family: Bacterial small subunit ribosomal RNA
Source: RNAcentral
AAUGGGCGAAAGCCUGAUCCAGCAAUGCCGCGUGUGGGAUGAAGGCCUUCGGGUUGUAAACCACUUUUGGCGGGGGAGAAAUGCCGGGUGCUAAUACCAUCCGGUGAUGACGGUACCCGCAGAAUAAGCACCGGCUAACUACGUGCCAGCAGCCGCGGUAAUACGUAGGGUGCGAGCGUUAAUCGGAAUUACUGGGCGUAAAGCGUGCGCAGGCGGUUUGGUAAGACAGAUGUGAAAUUCCCGGGCUUAACCUGGGAACUGCAUUUGUGACUGCCAGGCUAGAGUGCGGCAGAGGGGAGUGGAAUUCCGCGUGUAGCAGUGAAAUGCGUAGAUAUGCGGAGGAACACCG